UUGCUUCGGCAGCGCAUAUACUAAAAUUGGAACAAUACAGAGGAGAUUAGCCUGUAUGGCCCCUGCGCAAUGAUGACACGCAAAUUCGUGAAGCAUUCCAUAUUUUU
Small nuclear RNA from Amblyraja radiata (thorny skate), 107 nucleotides. NCBI's taxonomy places the organism in Eukaryota, Metazoa, Chordata, Chondrichthyes, Rajiformes, Rajidae. The record is from RefSeq and is a predicted model, not a curated record.